UAUGAUUGGAGCUUUAGCCCUUUUGUAUAAAUAUAAUGAAGGAGCAUCAAACAUUGCAUAGCAGUUGAACGUCUAUGGCAUUUGUUUUAUAACGAUCAAAGAUGCUUAGAACAUCAUUUCUAUUGAAUCCACAUAACAAGUAUUUAUGGCAAGGGGCACCAUCACAUAGAUUAAAGAAAAACGAUGGAUUAAUUAAUAGUUCAACACUAAAGCAUCGACCACUUGCAUGGUGAUAGGAGCAAGUGGCAAUGUGCCAAGUCUCUAAGUUGCGGUACAUAUUCUAAAUCCUUGCGGUGCUCCAUGGUUAGCAAUGCAUCGUCAUAUGGACAUCUUCGCUACAACCGAUGCAUGCACCUCAAACAACAUGCCGGUGUUUUUACCUGAUAAAAUAGAUAGUGUUACUAAUUUAUUUGCUAGGUGCAAAUUGUAUGAGCGACUUGUAUGAAAUAAAUGCAAUGUUUCAUUAAGAUCUCUACCCAACUAUUUUUACCAAAAAAACCAAAAAAUGUUGUUUUCCCCUGUAAUACCUGAACUUGUUACAAUAUAAACAAAAUUAACCCUGUCGUAGAAUAAAAGCAUUAUGACCUACUAAACCCAACCUGAUAAAAUGAUCCAUUUCAAUACAGAACAUUUGAUGUGUCGUUAAUUGCCAGUUGUUAACAGAAAAUCUGUAAUAGAAUCAUGGUGCAAAGAUAGCUUGUAUUGCCGUUUACAGAACGAAGGAAGCUCAAACAAUAUUUUAACAUUAAAUUAUCUUCCAUCCUAAUGAUAGCCUCAUACAGUGCCACAUCUCUAACCUUGAGCCUUUUUAAAAAAAACAUACAAAUAUGUUAGAUGGAUGCAAAUGCUUCUAUUCUCCUUAUUAAUUCGUUGCAAUGUAAAAGAUAUACAUGCAAUUCCAGCUAGAAAUAUACUAACAAAUUGCCAUAGAAAUCAUUAUGGGAAAUUAAGAACAGGUUCCACCUUUUUGUUGGCAGAAAAUAAAGAAAGAAAGAACACACCAGAAUUUUAAAAGGAGUAGCAGAGAGGCGGAGGACCAUAAUCCUUCUUCGGGCAGAGACAACAGCGAACGGCUGGGCGUCGGAGGGCUUGACACCUGCUGAGGAACGUGUGACAUUAUUGGAUUAACCUCUUGGUUGAUGAGCAUGCAUGAAGAACAUCAAAUACAAAAAGUGAUAUAAGAUAUUAAUAAAUUUUAGGUUCAUUUAUGUUAUUUGAAGCCAAAAUGUCCUAGCCAAAGAGAGUUGUACCAGCAGAAAAAACAUUCCAGGUUUUUUUUUUCUGAAGCCACAAGAACAAACAAACGGCAAACACACUACUGCUAUUCAUAGUCAGUAUUGCUACAACAGAAUGUACAGAAAAGGCAAUCUACUCUUAAGGCUUGACACACAAAAAACUUGGAAUAGUGACUAUGAACAAUCUGUUGUAGCAAUCUACUCUGAAGCACAGAAAAGGCAAUUUACUCUUGACACACAAAGUUUAAACAGUUAUUUUGGCAUUGUAUUCUUCAUAGUAUGCUUAGUUUAUGCAAGAAAAUGAUCGUACUUCAGUUAUACAUUACACAAAGGUAGAUCCAGAAGAAUACUUGGCUGACCACAUAAGAGUAUAAUUAAGUAGCAGCAGCAUAUACCAUAACAGCUUUAAUAACAGGAUUGGUACCUAAUCACAUUAUAGCCAACGACAGCUAUCCGGCGGCAUCAAUAACCUGAUUAGUACCUAAGAACAACAGAAAUUUCUUUUACUAAGAGUCCAUGCAGAGUAUGACAUCUAAACCUUCUAACAUAAACAUAAUUACAAAAACCUUAUAGAAAUAAGGAAUUGAACAACAAGAGAACAAAUAAAAGGAGGCACGCACAGUAAUGCAAACCAUGCCAAUUGUCAACCUAGUUUUUAAAUCUCACAGAACAUCAACUCAAUUGUAGACUAAAAGAUGGUUGCCAUGCUAACAUUAUCUCUCUCUCAUUCCUUGCUCGUUUAAAAGAUUGCACAAUCAACUACUUAUUUCAUACACCAGAAUAAACUUCACAUCACAUGCAUCUAUUCUAUUGGAAGAAGGAUACAGUAGGGACCUCCCCUGCUGUUAUAUGGAGCAAAUUCUAAUGGAAGAUGACAAAACUGUUAAGAACUAAAACAAAGAAAAGUUUCGCUGAAGCAUUUGUAGAAUGGUGAUACAGAAUAAUAGGAGUACGGCUAGGAAUGGAUAUUAACAUAAGCUCUAUGAUAAUAGAGUCGGAAAUUUAGGUCCAAAUAAAGAAAUAAGCCUUGUCACCUGAUGCUUGCUCCACUAUACCACCUCUUCUGGCUUAGUGGGGAAGGCGGGAAACUGAGAGGCAUGGCUGAGUCCUAAAGUAUCCUAACCUUUCAAAGACGUAGUAAUAGAAUACCCAAAAUGUUCAUUAGAAACCUCAUAGCUGAGCCACAAUUCACAUAUACAUAGUUUAGCAUGCGACCUAAAGUAUCAUAGUUAAGCCACAAUUCGCAGAAAUUUGAAGUCCAAAAACAGAAGAAAUAAAAUGUUGUAAGAUUAAUAUCCAAAGAUACAUAGUUGAGCUGCAACCUAAAGUAUCCUUACCUGUCAGAGCUAUGCGAAUAGAAUAUUCAAAACCUUCAUUAAACAUAUCAUCAUAUUGGCCAGCCACGGCAACAGUGUACGAUCAUCAAAAUAUGUAGGUGCAGAGUGCAGACCUAUUCAUAGGUUAGCUGAAGCGGUAUGAAAAAUUCAAACAUUAGCUGUUACACUUACGAUAUUAUUCAUCGGCAAAGCAGUAUGGGCUACCAUCAGCGCGACAUUACAGGGUGGCGUCUUCGGCCUCUGUGGUCACAAAUUUUCUAAAAAGCAAGAUGGAUGAAUAGCUACCUCAUAUAUCAAGGUCCACUUCUUCCAUUAUGUACUCAUAUAUCAAGGUCUAGAGUAUAUCUAUCCAGGUCAUGACAAAUUUUGUAAUUCACUCUUUUUUAAAUGAACAGAGAAAAUCUGCAGUGACCAAGAUGUCCACUUCUUCCAUUACGUACUCAUAUAUCAAGGUCUAGAGCAAAGUUCAAGAAGGCGCUGGGCGUUACUUAUGCGUUUUGUGACCUACUUGCGCACAACCCGCUUAUGCGUCGCCUAGGCGCGCCUAGGCGUUUCCACUGUAGCAUGAAGAAACAAGGUAGAUGGGCUGAUCUGGCCCAUUAAACCACUGGCCCAUCUAUUCAAUUCUCCUACUAAAGCCUCCCAUACGUGCACAGUCGACAGAAAAUUAGGGAUCCACCUCACGCCGCCUCUCUCCUUCCUCUCUCCCUUGCUGCACAUGGGAACCAGUCAGCCAGUGAAGCUCGAUUUCUCGCCGGAGAUGCUUGAUCCCUCACCGGAAUCAGUCGAUUUCUCACCGGAAAUGCUUGAUCUCUCGCCGGAAUCAGUUGAUUUGUUGCUGGAUUGGUUGAAUCCUCGUCGGGGAGGAUGGAUCUUUGCUGGGGAGGUCAAAUCCUGGCUGGGGAGAUUGAUUUCCUGCCUGAGAAACACGAUUUCUUGCCGGAGGACCUUUCUGGGCGCUUUUCUGAGCGCCUAGGUCCAAAGCGAGGCGCUAUGCCAGCGCCCAGAGCUUAAGCGCGCCUAGGCGAGCGCCUAGUAGCGCCUUCUUGAACAGUGGUCUAGAGUAUAUCUACCCAGGUCAUGACAGAUUCAAACUGAAAGCAAAGUAGAUUUAGGACAGAGCUAUAUCAUGACCAAACAUGUAAAUAAGAGAAUUCUGCAGUGCAAGAGUACUUUUAGGACCGGGUUACAUUAUGACCAAAUUAGCUCAUGAACUUAUAAUCGAAAAGGACAUGUGUAGGGAAAAAUACUGCCCAAACAAAGUACAGAGAAAAGGAACGCCCAAAUAAAUAUGUUAACGAAGGCAAAGGAAGAAGACCACGUCAUAUUUGAAUGAAUAUAUAUAUAAUCUAUUGCAGACCUUGCCUAGUAGAAACACAGUGACAAGCAAGCACAAGAUGCAUCAGCUUACGUAUUUUAAACCACUGCCAUUGACAUACACGACUGAUUACCUUACAAAGGCAUAUAAGGGUGUGUUUGGUUGCGGAACGAAGUGGAAUGGAAUGUCAUGGUUCCAUUCCACUAGAAUGGGUCGGUUCCGUCUCUGUGUUUGCUUGAGCACAGUAGAUGGAAUGGAAUGGUUACAUUUCGGUGUUUGGUUGGAGAGAUUGAAUCGAAUGAAUUUGAUUCCACUCACAAUAAUUUAUAACUCCACUCGCAAGUAUAAAUAGUUUUGAACAACAUUUUAAUUUCACAAUGAUUUAUCACUGAAAUAUAUAACCUGAUAUUUGAUUGUUUAUAUAUAAAAAUGGUAGUCAAAGCAACUUUUCAGAAAAUAAAUAACAAAUGUUCAUGAAGCACAAAAUCUAGAUCACAAAGUAUUAAUGACAACAAAAAUUAUUACUACCAGUCUCAACACAGAGCACACAAAGCUAGCACUAAUCAAGUUUGAGUACUACUGAUUUUUGGACGGAGAAUGCCAAGCUAGAAAGAGUCAAUCGAAGGAGCUUGCUCUUGCCGUCGCUGAUGCUUCUCUUGCUGCUACCGCCCAGGUGUCUGGAUGCCACCGGCCGGCUAGCUGCCGGGAAGGAGACAAGCCGAGCCGACCGCUGCUUAUCUGCUCUGCUUCCCAACAAAUCGGCUGCAUCUGACCUGCCAUCAUUGCUUCCUACUGGGUGAGAGGAACGGGAGGAGGGAGCAAUCAGCUGCUGCUUGACGAGAGAAAGACGGGGGAGGAGCCGUCGUUCCAGAGGGCGAGCCGAGGGAGAGGCCGGAUCGAGAGGGAGCCGCCCCGUCCUUUCCUAGAUCCUUGGUCGAGGGGCAGGAGACGCGGCGAAGCUGCAUCUCCGGCGAGGGGAAGGAGACGCCGACAAGGCUGCAUAUCCAACCGCGGCGAGGGGGUGCCGUAGAGGAGGGGGAGGUGUAUGGCCGCCGCCAUGCCCAUCGAGGGAGAGGGAGCGGGGCGCCGCACAGGACGCCUUCCUCGUUGGUGAGUGGGGGACGACGCGAGAGAGACGCAUUCCGCGUGGUCCAGCCAAUUUGGAGGAACCACCCGGUUCGGCAUAUAGAGGGAAUAUUCCUCUCCAGGGAAUCAGUGCGUUCCGUUCCCUUUUUCAACUAAACACAGGAAUCGCUCCCAGGUGCAGGUCCGACCCGUUACAUUCCACUUCAUUCCCUGUACCAAACACACCCUAACCUGACAUAUAGGCAUGGACACUGAUACUAUGAAUUUUUUAUGCCCCGUGCGGAACUGUCAUGCCCCUAGUCUUGCUCAUGUCAAGCACAACAGCAGCAAAGCGGACAAAAAUGUAGCCAACAGCAGCAAAGCAGACAAAACUGUAGCCACUCAACACUUGGAAAACAGAAAACAGUGAACAUACGCAAACAAAUCAAACUGACGCAAAUGACCAGUCUGCAGUCAGCUGCUCAAAUAUGCUCUCCGCCACUAAGGGGAAAUAUGAGAUAUACUUUUCUUAACAUGAAACAUUAAGUUGUAGAUGUAGAUAAAAGAUUUAGUCUGCUUGCACAUCAUUUCUUCAAGCAUCACAUACUCUCAAUUAACCAACAACAAUCAUGAAGCACAUACCUGCCCAUGUCGUAGGCCAGUGCCUCCAGUUCUUGAUGGAUUCCUUCAACAGCACAAUGUCUUACUU
This 5664-nucleotide long non-coding RNA is filed under the name Triticum aestivum (bread wheat). Its description in RNAcentral is "long non-coding RNA (TAES_LNC020300)". Lineage: Eukaryota; Viridiplantae; Streptophyta; Magnoliopsida; Poales; Poaceae. The record is from RNAcentral.